UCACCGGAGACAUUAUUCCGCA
This 22-nucleotide microRNA is filed under the name Brugia malayi. RNAcentral describes it as "bma-miR-36b-3p". Its record names the gene bma-miR-36b-3p. The record is from miRBase by way of RNAcentral. Lineage: Eukaryota; Metazoa; Nematoda; Chromadorea; Rhabditida; Onchocercidae.